This 423-nucleotide ribosomal RNA is filed under the name uncultured prokaryote. RNAcentral's name for it is "bacterial SSU rRNA". It matches the Rfam family "Bacterial small subunit ribosomal RNA", at positions 355 to 796 of the family's 1533-position model. The record is from RNAcentral.
UGGGGAAUCUUGGACAAUGGGGGCAACCCUGAUCCAGCGACGCCGUGUGGGUGGUAAGGCCUUCGGGUUGUAAAGCCCUUUCACCGGGGAAGAUGAUGACAUUACCCGGAGAAGAAGCGCCGGCUAACUCCGUGCCAGCAGCCGCGGUAAGACGGAGGGCGCUAGCGUUGUUCGGAAUCACUGGGCGUAAAGGGCGCGUAGGCGGCUGUUUAAGUCGAGGGUGAAAGCCCGGGGCUCAACCCCGGAACGGCCUUCGAGACUGGGCAGCUCGAGACCGGAAGAGGAGGGUGGAAUACCCAGUGUAGAGGUGAAAUUCGUAGAUAUUGGGAAGAACACCCGUGGCGAAGGCGGCUCUCUGGCCCGGUUCUGACGCUGAGGUGCGACAGCGUGGGGAGCAGACAGGAUUAGAUACCCGUGUAGUCC